UACGUAGGUGGCAAGCGUUAUUCGGAUUUACUGGGUGUAAAGGGAGCGUAGACGGCAGCGCAAGUCUGGAGUGAAAUGCCGGGGCUCAACCCCGGAACUGCUUUGGAAACUGUGCAGCUAGAGUGCGGGAGAGGUAAGCGGAAUUCCUAGUGUAGCGGUGAAAUGCGUAGAUAUUAGGAGGAACCCCAGUGGCGAAGGCGGCUUACUGGACCGUAACUGACGUUGAGGCUCGAAAGCGUGGGGAGCAAACAGG
RNAcentral lists this ribosomal RNA (253 nucleotides) under uncultured bacterium. Its description in RNAcentral is "partial 16S ribosomal RNA". It matches the Rfam family "Bacterial small subunit ribosomal RNA", at positions 524 to 776 of the family's 1533-position model. The record is from RNAcentral.